AGUGAACGCUGGCGGUAGGCCUAACACAUGCAAGUCGAACGGCAGCACAGUAAGAGCUUGCUCUUACGGGUGGCGAGUGGCGGACGGGUGAGGAAUACAUCGGAAUCUACUUUUUCGUGGGGGAUAACGUAGGGAAACUUACGCUAAUACCGCAUACGACCUACGGGUGAAAGCAGGGGAUCUUCGGACCUUGCGCGACUGAAUGAGCCGAUGUCGGAUUAGCUAGUUGGCGGGGUAAAGGCCCACCAAGGCGACGAUCCGUAGCUGGUCUGAGAGGAUGAUCAGCCACACGGGAACUGAGACACGGUCCAGACUCCUACGGGAGGCAGCAGUGGGGAAUAUUGGACAAUGGGCGCAAGCCUGAUCCAGCCAUACCGCGUUGGUGAAGAAGGCCUUCGGGUUGUAAAGCCCUUUUGUUGGGAAAGAAAAGCAGCAGGUUAAUACCCCGCUGUUCUGACGGUACCCAAAGAAUAAGCACCGGCUAACUUCGUG
Molecule: ribosomal RNA, 492 nt
Filed under: uncultured bacterium
Lineage: Bacteria
Description: partial 16S ribosomal RNA
Rfam family: Bacterial small subunit ribosomal RNA
Source: RNAcentral